Molecule: ribosomal RNA, 321 nt
Filed under: uncultured bacterium
Lineage: Bacteria
Description: bacterial SSU rRNA
Rfam family: Bacterial small subunit ribosomal RNA
Source: RNAcentral
CGGCGUGCCUAACACAUGCAAGUCGAACGCGAAAGUCCCGCAAGGGAUCAGUAGAGUGGCAAACGGGUGAGUAACACGUGGGUGACCUGCCUUCGAGUGGGGGAUAACGUCCCGAAAGGGACGCUAAUACCGCAUGACAUCCUGCCUUUGAAGAGGCGGAGCUUAAAGCUGGGGAUCGCAAGACCUAGCGCUUGGAGAGGGGCCCGCGCCUGAUUAGCUAGUUGGUGAGGUAAUGGCUCACCAAGGCAACGAUCAGUAUCCGGCCUGAGAGGGCGGACGGACACACUGGGACUGAGACACGGCCCAGACUCCUACGGGAGG